This 434-nucleotide ribosomal RNA is filed under the name uncultured bacterium. RNAcentral's name for it is "partial 16S ribosomal RNA". It matches the Rfam family "Bacterial small subunit ribosomal RNA", at positions 341 to 792 of the family's 1533-position model. The record is from RNAcentral.
ACGGGAGGCAGCAGUGGGGGAUAUUGCACAAUGGGGGAAACCCUGAUGCAGCGACGCCGCGUGAGUGAUGAAGUAUUUCGGUAUGUAAAGCUCUAUCAGCAGGGAAGAAAAUGACGGUACCUGACUAAGAAGCUCCGGCUAAAUACGUGCCAGCAGCCGCGGUAAUACGUAUGGAGCAAGCGUUAUCCGGAUUUACUGGGUGUAAAGGGAGCGUAGACGGUGACGCAAGUCUGAAGUGAAAGGUGUGGGCUCAACCCGCAAACUGCUUUGGAAACUGUGUGACUAGAGGGUCGGAGAGGUAAGUGGAAUUCCUAGUGUAGCGGUGAAAUGCGUAGAUAUUAGGAGGAACACCAGUGGCGAAGGCGGCUUACUGGACGAUAACUGACGUUGAGGCUCGAAAGCGUGGGGAGCAAACAGGAUUAGAUACCCUGGUA